This is an RNA transcript of Saccostrea cuccullata (small rock oyster), 1766 nucleotides long. RefSeq lists it as uncharacterized. The transcript is spliced from 8 exons. Lineage: Eukaryota; Metazoa; Mollusca; Bivalvia; Ostreida; Ostreidae. The record is from RefSeq and is a predicted model, not a curated record.
UAGUUUACCUCAUAUUUAUUCAGGAAAGUUGAAACAUUACUCACUUAUCCAUCCGUUUCCUUCCUUUUUGUAGCAUACGUUUUACUGUUAUUUCCUGGUUAAUGUGUUUAUUAUAUGUUUUGCACGAUUAAAGCUUUGGGUUUGUAUCUGUAAUUUUUCUUCAGCUAUUAUGAGUCCACUACACAGUCAAGCAGGUCUUCUUGUCGUGUGUGUGUUUGCUUAUCAAGUAAUUGGUCAAGAAAUCCAAAAAACUAUCGUUGGCUGCAUAAGUGACAAUGUUACUUUGUCCUUUGAUCUACCUGAGAAGAAGGACCAUACUGUAGAUAGUUAUAUUUGGUACAAACAGGAUGUAUCGGGGGAUCCCAGCUUCGCCAAAUAUACUGUAGCAGAAAACAAGUUUGAAAUCUACAGAGAUGCCCAAGAUCGGCUCCUCCACAAUCAUAAUGAUCCAUUACAGCUAAGAAAUUUAGUUUUACUGAAUGUGCAGAAAAGUGACGUUUCUAAAUAUUUUCUGGUGAUUAAUUAUGUCAACGUCACACAGCAGACAUCGGAGUAUCUCUUACGAUUGUCAGUAAAAGAUCUUUGCUUUGGAAAACCCGAGCAAGUAGAUGGAUGUGUAGUAUCAACAUGUUUUACAGGAGAGAACGGAAACCUAACAACGUUUUACGGUGACGAAAAAGGCACGACACAAACAGUGAAUGGUUACACAGAGGUGAGAAACUGUACAAGUGGUGUCUCUGUUGGCUACUCCUGCUGUAAUACAGCCGGAAACUGUGAGGAACAAAUGCUCAUUGUGCCCGAAGAAACUACAGUCGUUGAGCAAAAGAUCACAAAGGAUCACUCAAAAAAUGUGGGAUCUUCACAUGGGACAGGAGUCAGUAUGGUAUUUGGAGUUUUGAUUGGCCUAGAACUUAUCGUUAUCACUACGUGGCCUUAGUGAAACAGAAGUAAAUGAAGGUGAAAAGAAAAAGAUGGAAACAGUCAAUGUGCUUUUUCUCCAGGACUACGAAAGUUAAAAAAGGGACCCUGUAAUUUCUUUUUAAACUUAAGACUAUUGGACACAUACCAACUAUGCGUGCUGCGCUUCCUAUACAAUGUUCAAGUCGCUACAGAGAAUGACGUUUAAAACUUAUUUCUUUUCUGCAUUAGGAAAAAUUUGUCACGGAUUCUGUAUUUAGCUCACCUCAGCUGAGAGCUCAAGUGAUCUUUUCUGAUAACAUUUUGUCUGGCGCCCAUCUGUAUGUCUGUCUUUCUGUAAACUUUUCACAUUUUUGACUUCUUCUCCAGAACCACUGGGGCAAUUUUAACAAAACUUGCCACAAAGCAUUCUUGGUUGAAGGGGAUUCACAUUUGUUCAAAUGAAGAGCCACGCCCUUAUUCAAGGGGAGAUAAUUCAGAAAUUGUGAAAAUUUUGUAGCAUGUUUUAAAAAUCUUCUUCUCAAGAACCACUGUGCCAAGAAAGAUGAAACUUAAGGGGAAACAUCCUUAUUUAGUGUAGAUUCAACUUUGUUCAAAUCAUACCCUCUCCCCUUUAAGGAUUGGUUGGGGCCACUUUUGGGUUUAAACUUUUCAAUAUUAAACUGAUUUCUGCUUUUUUCUUAGCCACAGUGCUCAGGUGAGCGAUGUGUCCCAUGGGCCUCUUAUUAUUUUUACUUCUACAUUGUAGAUCUCACACUCCUAGUAUAUUGACAAGUAUUUUUUUCCUUUUUCUUUAGAUGGUUUGUUUUCUUUUUCAUGGGACGAGAGAUACGUUGUUGUUGUUGUUU